CCCCUCAAGAUGAGAUUUCCCAUAGCGUAAGCUAGUAAGAUCCCUGAAAGAUGAUCAGGUUGAUAGGUUCGAGGUGGAAGCAUGGUGACAUGUGGAGCUGACGAAUACUAAUAGAUCGAGGACUUAACCAUAUAA
This 135-nucleotide ribosomal RNA is filed under the name Bacillus cereus. Its description in RNAcentral is "partial 23S ribosomal RNA". It matches the Rfam family "Bacterial large subunit ribosomal RNA", at positions 2795 to 2925 of the family's 2925-position model. RNAcentral also lists the same sequence under 1 other name. The record is from RNAcentral. Lineage: Bacteria; Bacillati; Bacillota; Bacilli; Caryophanales; Bacillaceae.